This 199-nucleotide ribosomal RNA is filed under the name Gammaproteobacteria bacterium. RNAcentral's name for it is "partial 16S ribosomal RNA". It matches the Rfam family "Bacterial small subunit ribosomal RNA", at positions 1 to 179 of the family's 1533-position model. Lineage: Bacteria; Pseudomonadati; Pseudomonadota; Gammaproteobacteria. The record is from RNAcentral.
UUAAUUGAAGAGUUUGAUCAUGGCUCAGAUUGAACGUUGGCGGCAGGCCUAAUACAUGCAAGUCGAACGGUAACAGAUCGCUGUGAUCCCUUCGGGGUGAACUUGAUGCUGACGAGUGGCGAACGGGUGAGUAACGCGUAGGAAUCUACCCAGUAGCGGGGGAUAGCCCGAGGAAACUCGGAUUAAUACCGCAUACGCC